UGAUCUUGCCUUUGAGGCUUGAGGAGAUGAUCCCAGGAUUGGGGAUUUGUUUGCGUAAUCCUUAUGUAGCACUUGAGCUAUAGAAUCCAACUAUGGAUGGCUUCUCCUAGAUUCUUUUCCGUGUCACCUCUAGGGAUCUCCAGUUCCAAGUCAUCCCAACCGUCGACCACUCAAUCCACCCCAACUUUGGCAUAAAUGCGAGCUGGAAUCUCCACGCCAUGAAUUAUUUCACCUUGUGUCAAUUGUUUAGCCACACCAUAAGCC
This 264-nucleotide long non-coding RNA is filed under the name Setaria viridis. RNAcentral's name for it is "long non-coding RNA (SVIR_LNC009011)". The record is from RNAcentral. Lineage: Eukaryota; Viridiplantae; Streptophyta; Magnoliopsida; Poales; Poaceae.